GUUUUUUGUAGCAGUGUUAUUUCCAGAAUAAAGCUAUUAAUUUUGCCUCUUGACUCUACUCAUGUUCACUAGGCAGAUUUUGUGCCUUGAAAUGUGAGUGUCUUCUUAAAUAAGAGGAGGAUAAGAAAGGUCAGUGGGGGAAAUGUGAGAAGAGAAAAACAAGCAAAAAUACACCACUAGGUAGAAAGGGAGUGGAGAGGUGGUGCUGAGGUGGUAGAGCCACCUGCUAUUUUCAAGCUGAGGUUGUUGCACUGGGGACUGGCUGGGAAGUGGGGAGCAGCAGAAGAAUGAGCAUCAGCGGUGCAGCAGCUGAGGUGGUCAGGGAGGAAAUCCCACGGUGAAGCCCGUGGUGCAGGGGGUGACGGUGGGUGGAAAUGCCUCCCUGCCUGGGAGGGAGGAAGGAAAAGAAGCAUUCAGAGCUCUGGGAGCAGGAAAGAAGACCAGCUUUUUUGCCACUCUAGAAAGCAAUUAUUAGACGGGGUUCGUAAUUGCUAUCUUUUCAUGAAUUGACUGAGAAAUGUGAAAGGACUGUGCAGGAAUUGCCAUGGCACCUGCUGUUGAUUAGCAGGGCUACUAAUAAAACCAAGUUAAUGUCACAGUGUAAGGCUUGGCUCUUAUCCUGCUUUCAUAUCAGGGUCCUGUUUGUGUACAUCAGGAAGUCUGGGAUGUGAUGGGAUGCAAUGGAGAGGAGAUGGCAGCCAUGAGUGGAGAGCAGCCAGCCUGGCCUCACUGCUGUCAUGAGGAGCCUGCCAGGAUGGAGCAGUUCAUGCCAUCCAUGAGUCAUCUGGCUAACUGAACCCGAGGUUGGGAGCACAGACCCACUACAAGCUUGGUUUUUCCUUCUGAAGUGUGGGACACACAACUUGAAUCCUGGUGCCUGUACCUGGCAUGUAUUUCAGAGCCCUGAGCUUUCAGUGUGCUGGUGGCUGCUCCCAUACAUAGCUCAUAGCGUGCUUGCUGAGCAUACACACCUCUGUGUUGAGCAAAAGGUGAAUGCAGAUGUGCCCAUCACUUACUUGCCUUGCCUGAAUGAAAGCAAAGUUUAUGAAAAUGGGUGUUGAGCCUUGAUUAACUAUGUGUGCUUGGUAUAUACACUCUAUUCUCUGUCUAGGAGUGACUGCAGUAUUUAUUUGUGAAAUGUCUGCCUAUUUUAGACUCCUUUGGACAGUCCAUGAAGCUCUGGAGGGGGGAUUAGGUUAAAUGUAAAGAAGUGUUUUACAAUAAGGGUGGUGAGGCACUGGCACAGGUUGCCUGGUGAGGUGGUGGGUGCCCCGUCCCUGAAGUCAACCAAGGUCAGACUGGACAGGGCUCUGAGCUCCUGAUGGAGCUGUAGGUGUCCCUGUUCAUUGCAGAGGAGUUGAACUAUGUGACCUUUAAAGGUCUUUUCCAACACAAACAAGACUGUGAUUCUAUGAUUCUCUUUCUUGUGAGAAGGAGACGGUUUUUACUUUAGGAACUAAAAGCAGUUGCUCACCCUAGUAAUGUUACACUUAAAAUGUGUUAGAGGCAUGUGACCACAGUGUAAGGCCUUCUUCACAAUUUCCGUGUGAAAUGUUAUGGGCUGUCAUGCAGUACAAUCUACAUAUACCUUUGAUACUAGAGGAGAAAUCAAUAAAUCUGCUUUUGAGAUGUUUGUUGAGGAUGUA
Molecule: long non-coding RNA, 1646 nt
Organism: Numida meleagris (helmeted guineafowl)
Lineage: Eukaryota; Metazoa; Chordata; Aves; Galliformes; Numididae
Source: Ensembl